RNAcentral lists this transfer RNA (75 nucleotides) under Sulfolobus sp. RNAcentral's name for it is "tRNA-Val". It matches the Rfam family "tRNA". Rfam says of the family: Transfer RNA (tRNA) molecules are approximately 80 nucleotides in length. Lineage: Archaea; Thermoproteati; Thermoproteota; Thermoprotei; Sulfolobales; Sulfolobaceae. The record is from RNAcentral.
GGGCCCGUAGUCUAGCCUGGUUAGGACGCCGCCCUGACGCGGCGGAGGUCGCCGGUUCAAGUCCGGCCGGGCCCA